UGUUGGCGAGUUAUUUAUGUUGUGAGAUACGUGUUAGUAUGUUAAAAUAACGAUUUUAUACUGUCAGACGGGUAUCCAAGUAUCGAAUGAAUCAUGCCUUCUCCCUCCUCCCCAGUCUCUUCAGCCCCAGGACCGAGACGUUGAGGUGGCGUGAAUUCGGCGUGCCCUGUCUGCAAUCCUGCCUUUCAGUAAGUCCCCAGGACCGAGGCGUUGAGGUGGCGUGAAUUCGGCGUGCCCUGUCUGCAAUCCUGCCUUUCAGUAAGGGGCAGUAAGGACAAGAUCCACCCACCACCCAGUGCAUGCUACAUAUGUGUGUGUAAUAAAUUGAGAGGGAAAGUGUGUGUGAUAAAUGAAAUUUAAUAAAGUAAGUAAAAUUUUGAA
Long non-coding RNA from Alosa alosa (allis shad), 381 nucleotides. RefSeq lists it as uncharacterized. The record is from RefSeq and is a predicted model, not a curated record. NCBI's taxonomy places the organism in Eukaryota, Metazoa, Chordata, Actinopteri, Clupeiformes, Clupeidae. The transcript is spliced from 3 exons.